GGGCUUGUAGCUCAGGUGGUUAGAGCGCUACACUGAUAAUGUAGAGGUCCCUGGUUCGAGUCCAGGCAGGCCCACCG
This 77-nucleotide transfer RNA is filed under the name Runella slithyformis. Its description in RNAcentral is "tRNA-Ile". It matches the Rfam family "tRNA". Rfam says of the family: Transfer RNA (tRNA) molecules are approximately 80 nucleotides in length. Their secondary structure includes four short double-helical elements and three loops (D, anti-codon, and T loops). Further hydrogen bonds mediate the characteristic L-shaped molecular structure. tRNAs have two regions of fundamental functional importance: the anti-codon, which is responsible for specific mRNA codon recognition, and the 3' end, to which the tRNAs corresponding amino acid is attached (by aminoacyl-tRNA synthetases). tRNAs cope with the degeneracy of the genetic code in two manners: having more than one tRNA (with a specific anti-codon) for a particular amino acid; and 'wobble' base-pairing, i.e. permitting non-standard base-pairing at the 3rd anti-codon position. The record is from RNAcentral. Lineage: Bacteria; Pseudomonadati; Bacteroidota; Cytophagia; Cytophagales; Spirosomataceae.